ACGCACAGCGAAAGGUGCUUGCACCUUUCAAGUGAGUGGCGAACGGGUGAGUAACACGUGGACAACCUGCCUCAAGGCUGGGGAUAACAUUUGGAAACAGAUGCUAAUACCGAAUAAAACUUAGUGUCGCAUGACAAAAAGUUAAAAGGCGCUUCGGCGUCACCUAGAGAUGGAUCCGCGGUGCAUUAGUUAGUUGGUGGGGUAAAGGCCUACCAAGACAAUGAUGCAUAGCCGAGUUGAGAGACUGAUCGGCCACAUUGGGACUGAGACACGGCCCAAACUCCUACGGGAGGCUGCAGUAGGGAAUCUUCCACAAUGGGCGAAAGCCUGAUGGAGCAACGCCGCGUGUGUGAUGAAGGCUUUCGGGUCGUAAAGCACUGUUGUAUGGGAAGAACAGCUAGAAUAGGAAAUGAUUUUAGUUUGACGGUACCAUACCAGAAAGGGACGGCUAAAUACGUGCCAGCAGCCGCGGUAAUACGUAUGUCCCGAGCGUUAUCCGGAUUUAUUGGGCGUAAAGCGAGCGCAGACGGUUUAUUAAGUCUGAUGUGAAAGCCCGGAGCUCAACUCCGGAAUGGCAUUGGAAACUGGUUAACUUGAGUGCAGUAGAGGUAAGUGGAACUCCAUGUGUAGCGGUGGAAUGCGUAGAUAUAUGGAAGAACAC
RNAcentral lists this ribosomal RNA (661 nucleotides) under Leuconostoc mesenteroides. Its description in RNAcentral is "bacterial SSU rRNA". It matches the Rfam family "Bacterial small subunit ribosomal RNA", at positions 62 to 709 of the family's 1533-position model. The record is from RNAcentral. Lineage: Bacteria; Bacillati; Bacillota; Bacilli; Lactobacillales; Lactobacillaceae.